AAGGAAUAUUGGACAAUGGACGGAAGUCUGAUCCAGCCAUCCCGCGUGGAGGAAUAAGGCCCUAUGGGUUGUAAACUCCUUUAGCAGGGGAAUAAAAAGGUCAUUUAUGAUCAAUUGAAGGUACCCUGAGAAUAAGCACCGGCUAACUCCGUGCCAGCAGCCGCGGUAAUACGGAGGGUGCAAGCGUUAUCCGGAUUUACUGGGUUUAAAGGGUGCGUAGGCGGACUAUUAAGUCAAAUGUGAAAGCUUGCAGCUUAACUGUAAGAUUGCGUUUGAUACUGGUAGUCUCGAAUAUGGUAGAAGUUGGCGGAAUAAAUCAUGUAGCGGUGAAAUGCUUAGAUAUGAUGUAGAACACCGAUUGCGAAGGCAGCUAGCUAUGUCAUAAUUGACGCUGAGGCACGAAAGCGUGGGGAUCAAAC
This 419-nucleotide ribosomal RNA is filed under the name uncultured bacterium. RNAcentral's name for it is "bacterial SSU rRNA". It matches the Rfam family "Bacterial small subunit ribosomal RNA", at positions 356 to 773 of the family's 1533-position model. The record is from RNAcentral.